This 249-nucleotide non-coding RNA is filed under the name Rhodovastum atsumiense. RNAcentral's name for it is "Intron_gpI". It matches the Rfam family "Group I catalytic intron". From Rfam's summary of the family: Group I catalytic introns are large self-splicing ribozymes. They catalyse their own excision from mRNA, tRNA and rRNA precursors in a wide range of organisms. The core secondary structure consists of 9 paired regions (P1-P9). The record is from RNAcentral. Lineage: Bacteria; Pseudomonadati; Pseudomonadota; Alphaproteobacteria; Acetobacterales; Acetobacteraceae.
AAUCGGCUGUUAAAUUUUUGACACUUCAGAGGGAGACCUCAGUCGAAAAUCGGGUGAAUUCGGUGGAACCCCACCGUCGCGAGACGAGGGCAACGCCGAGCCAAGCCAGACGAAGGGCAUAAAGGUCGUCUGGAAGGUGUAGAGACUAGGCGGUGAGGAGCCCAUCCAAUAACCCGCCCACGAGCGCCCGACACCCUAACGGUCACGCCGAGGGUGAAGACAUAGUCCGGCACCGCGAGGAAUCGCGGC